RNAcentral lists this ribosomal RNA (101 nucleotides) under uncultured bacterium. RNAcentral describes it as "partial 16S ribosomal RNA". The record is from RNAcentral.
GGAUCGUAAACCUACCUGUCAGCAGGGGAAGAACGGUCACUGUGCUAAUCAGCAGUGAAUUUGACGGUACCUGCAAAGGAAGCACCGGCUAACUCCGUGCC